This 253-nucleotide ribosomal RNA is filed under the name uncultured bacterium. Its description in RNAcentral is "partial 16S ribosomal RNA". It matches the Rfam family "Bacterial small subunit ribosomal RNA", at positions 524 to 776 of the family's 1533-position model. The record is from RNAcentral.
UACGGGGGGGGCAAGCGUUGUUCGGAAUUACUGGGCGUAAAGGGCGCGUAGGCGGCCUGCUAAGUCGGACGUGAAAUCCCUCGGCUCAACCGGGGAACUGCGUCCGAUACUGGUGGGCUCGAAUCCGGGAGAGGGAUGUGGAAUUCCAGGUGUAGCGGUGAAAUGCGUAGAUAUCUGGAGGAAUACCGGUGGCGAAGGCGGCAUCCUGGACCGGCAUUGACGCUGAGGAGCGAAAGCUAGGGGAGCAAACGGG